AGAUUGAACGCUGGCGGCAGGCCUAACACGUGCAAGUCGAGCGGUAGAGAGGUGCUUGCAUCUCUUGAGAGCGGCGGACGGGUGAGUAAUGCCUAGGAAUCUGCCUAGUGGGUGGGGGAUAACGUUCGGAAACGGACGCUAAUACCGCAUACGUCCUACGGGAGAAAGCGGGGGACCUUCGGGCCUCGCGCCAUUAGAUGAGCCUAGGUCGGAUUAGCUAGUUGGUGAGGUAAUGGCUCACCAAGGCGACGAUCCGUAACUGGUCUGAGAGGAUGAUCAGUCACACGUGGAACUGACGACACGGUCCAGACCUCCGUACGGGAGCAGCAGGUGGGAAUAGUUGGAC
This 346-nucleotide ribosomal RNA is filed under the name uncultured soil bacterium. RNAcentral's name for it is "bacterial SSU rRNA". It matches the Rfam family "Bacterial small subunit ribosomal RNA", at positions 26 to 370 of the family's 1533-position model. The record is from RNAcentral.